This is a long non-coding RNA of Suricata suricatta (meerkat), 986 nucleotides long. RefSeq lists it as uncharacterized. The record is from RefSeq and is a predicted model, not a curated record. NCBI's taxonomy places the organism in Eukaryota, Metazoa, Chordata, Mammalia, Carnivora, Herpestidae. The transcript is spliced from 4 exons.
UAUGUCAAUAUCAAAUAAAGGGCAAGGAACCUGGAGAAAGAAUUGAGGACAACCGGAACCAGUCAUCAGUGGUUCGCUACUGAUUUCAUCGGAACUCAAGGAUGUUUGUCUGAGAACAUCAACCACCUCAAGAAGCCCAGAGCCGGAACUGAGGGUCUUACUCUCAAUUGUGAUUCAAACUUGUUUUUCAUAUAUUGAUGCUGUCAAAUGGUUCACUCUACCUGAAGGAUGAAAUACAGACAAUUGCUUGCAGAGAAGGAUGCUGAAAAAAUUGGUGAUACAGAGAAAAAAGAUAGGUUGGAUUCAAUGAUACGUCUCCUUCGACUCUGAUCCAAGGGCCAGGGAAAAGCUGGGAACUAGGUUUCUGAGAAAGAGCUGAGGGGCAAGAGGAAGAAAGGAAAUCCAGGAAGAAGAGAAUUCCAGGUUUCAACUGGAGGCAAAUCCCAUUUAUACGUUCUACAAAGAGCCCCAGUGAGAACUGUUAAGACUCUGAGACACUUGGAUGUCCAUGAUCUGGCCUCAAAUAAAAAUAGGUUCUUUUUGGUACUGGCCCAGCACACCCACUCUGCUGCUGAGAAGCAGAAAAGCCUGUUUCGGAGUUAGUAAUGGAGUAAUCAUUUUAGGGAAGCUAUGGUACUAAAACUACAACCUAAGUACCGUAUCAGAAUUUAAAUAGCAACUUGACAAAACCAAAGAGAUGGAGCAAAAUUGAGUGCACCCUAAAAACUGGCAUCUCUCCCAAUAUACCAUUUAAUUAAUUAAUACAGAGAAAAUUUGCAUUUUCUUGUCUGACAUAUCAAAAGAACUCAAUAAAGUAAAAACAAGAUGCCAUUUAGAAUUCUAAUGCAACUUUGCGGAGUUCUCACAUUCAUUAAUUACUGAGUUGGACAAAGGCCUAUUAAUUAAAAUUCACACUUCAAGAUUAAAUUGUAUUUGCAUCUUCCUGUACAGGGACAUAAAUAAAAAUGAUACUGACGGGCACCUGG